Molecule: long non-coding RNA, 1968 nt
Filed under: Panicum hallii
Lineage: Eukaryota; Viridiplantae; Streptophyta; Magnoliopsida; Poales; Poaceae
Description: long non-coding RNA (PHAL_LNC000388)
Source: RNAcentral
GGUGUUUAAGCAAUAAUUAGUGACUUUUGUUAUAGUAGAAUAAAUUUACAAAAAUAAAUAUAAUCAUCAUAUAAUAUGAAACCAUACAAGGGUCUCGACUUAUCACAAAAAUAUUUGACGUCUAUUACUUUUUUUCCUUUUUCUGGACUCAUCUUUAUUUUCCUUAUUAUCCGAUCUUUUUUUAUCUUACGUUACGUCCCGUCUUUUGCCAUCUUUUUUUUUACCGUAACUCUUUCUUCCUUAUCCGGUCCUUCUCCUAUCCAUCAUCUCUGUACUCCUCGCAGCAGCGAGUCGCUCGAUCCGGCCCCAUCUUGCUGCUCCAACCUCGCGCUCGUUCCCUCGGCACCCCGCUGGUCCGCUCCCGUCCCUCGCUACACCGCAUCUCCGCCUGACCACGCGGAGCCAAGGUGAGGAAGCUGGGCUAUGCGGUUGUGGUCGCGGCCGCGCAGGUAAGAUGCUUGGUGCGAGCACCAGCCGAUGCGGGGCCGCCGGUCCAGGCGCCAGCAAUAGCGGCGGAGGCAUGGAAGGCCAUGGAGCGGCGCAUCAGCCGCCGGUCCAGGCGCCAGCAAUCGCGGCGGAGGCAUGGACAGCCACGGAGCGCUCGCGCCGGCGCCGGCGUCGACCGAGCAAGUGGCAAUUUCAGGUGUGAUUUUGCCCAACUUUAAGGGUAGUUUUGUACUAGUAUGUGUGUGGACGAGGGAGGAGCCGGGAGGAGCCAGUUUUUUUUAGCUCCUGCCCUCCCGAACGGCUUCUCUGAGCGGGAUUUGGGGGGCUUCGCGUGUGGAGCUGUUUGGUGCCUUCCCGUUUGGCAGGGCUCCUUAUGAAGCCGUUGAAGAAGCCGGUCACGGAGCCCUGCCAAAGAGGGCCUUAUUCAGAGUGUGAUCUUUGCCCUUGAGACUUGGCUAUGUCCAAGUCGCUCUAGUAGUAUCUUUAAGACAUCUGAUGAGAUGGUCGCUGGUCAAACAAUUGCCGUAGUUAACCGGCAAACCUGUUAGUGUGUGUUGGUUUCCUUGCGUCUAAAAUUUAGAGGGGUCACAUCAAAAAUAAUCUUGUCAUUUAGAAGUAUUAAAUAAAGUCUAAUUAUAAAACUAAUUGCAGAACCCCAGUGCUAAUUCGCGAGACGAAUCUAAUGAGGUAUAUUAGUCCAUGAUUAGCGGAUGAUUACUGUAGCAUCACUGUGGCAAAUUAUGGAUUAAUUAGGUUCAUUAAAUUUGUCUCGCGAAUUAGCACCCAGCUGUGCAAAAAAUUUUAUAAACAGAUUUUAUUUAAUACUUCUAAAUAGAGAUUCUUUUUGAUACGAUGGGUCUAAAAUUUAGAGGGUAGGAAACGAACAGGCCCUUAGCCGAUGAAGCUGGGAACGCACGCAAACAAGAACUGGAACGCAGGAGUUUGGUGCUGCUAACACCUGGGAACGCGCGCAAACACGAACUGGAACACAGGAGUUUGGUGCUGCUAACACCCGACAGCUUUUCCAUUGCAUUGAUCAACAAUGUAUCGAACAAAGUAAAAAACCUUGAAAAGAAAUCACUUUGCACAGCUUGAAAAAAGAACUCAAUUACCGGAAACAAUUGUUUAAUACAACUCGUGUAUACCUGAGACGAAAUUCUAGUGGCCCAGAUGAAAAAUGGAUUCUUUGAUCUCCUACAACAACAGAGCCUUUUCAUCCCAAGCUAGUCAACCUAAUUCAAUGUUAUCGGUAUUAUGCUUCCCUGUUUUGCCUUCUGAAGGACUUUAGUCGGAAAGAAUGUUCUAUGCUGAAACUGCUGACUGAGCAUCUGAGGAUCCUGCAGCUUGAUUAUCUUUCUCGCUUGAUCUUCGUUUCAUCGUUCUCCUAACUUCUUCCUCCUUCUUGUCGACAAAUUGUAUCAGCUCUUUGAAGCUGCCAAGGCGUGAUGGCCUCCGCUGUCUUUCGGCAGCAUCAGCGGCAGUGGGAGCAGCAUCAGCAUCAGCUGCACUGGGCUCACCAGC